GAAGAACAGCUAUUCCAUCUUAGAUGCCUCAAAGACUAGCCAACAAUGCUAUCUGAUUGCCUGGAAAGAGGCGAGUUAACUAAUUCUGGAACACGAUCAAGCAAGCGGUUCAUCUCCUCUGGAAACUCUCCCUUUGCUCGGUUAGUUUUUCCUCCUACGAUCACUGCUGUUCCAUCUUGUAAGGCCCAAAUCUUUAAUUUGAGCAGAGGAGAAAACAAAGAACAUAAGCAUAUAUUAAUAAUUUGGGGGAACAGUUUCAAUAAUCGCAACAAUUACGUAUAACAAAACCAAAGAAAGAAAUAUCAAUGUAAGAUAUAGGCACCCAUCUAUGAUACCAUCCCAAACUACAAAUACUUGUGCAUUAGAAAAUUUAUGUGAUCCUACUAUAAAGUUCGAUUAUAAUAGAGGCAGUGCCAAUUGAUGACACCAGAUUACAUGUAAGCCUACUUGAUGAAGACAAAUAUAAACCAUUUUUAACCUUCAUCAAAAUUGGGGUACAUGAUUUCUGGUUUAUAAACACAAAACACUAACUGGUAAGACGUAUAAUUGAAUUUACCUGCGAAUGAGAAAGAAAACUGAUGCAAGUAGUGAGCAUUAGAGCACCAAAUCCAGCAUAUACAACCGGCACUCCUGGGUCAGUCUGAUAAGGACACGAUUUAGUUUCAAGGCAGAAUGGAUGCAGUUGAAGAAAAUGUUUAGGCAUCACCUUCAAGUCAAGACCGCUGCUCCCAAUUGCAUCUACAAUAACAAUUUUGUUGCCAUCAAUUUCAAUUGGAAGCUUGGAACUUGGUCGUCGGAUUCCAGCAAAUUUUCCUUCUUGAUCAUACAGGACAAUCGAUUGUAGAUCACGAGCAAGCAUUGAUCUGAAAUUAGAUAAAAGAAUGUAGGUAAGCAACAACCGGAAACAAUUAUCUGCCAAUAGAGAUGUGGUCACUGCCCCUCCUUUUUUAAGGAUGAAGGGGCAGGGGAAAUAAGGCAACGUCUAAGCUUUAAAGGUUCUCCAUCCCAGUUGAGCCUUCUGUAAUUGUUCGAAACACCAACAAGAACCAAUUGGGAAUUUAGCUUCCAUAUUCAAAUGGUACAAGAAAAGAUAUAGCUGUAGGAGAAUCACUUACAUUCCCUUAACAUUAGGAGCAUUCACAUCUCCAAUGGGUAAGAAGGACCCAUAAAGCUUCUUGUCUCCAUUGAUCUUAAGAGGUGCCAUCGCCAAAUUAAAAGGUCCUUCAUUAUCCUUGAGUACUUGUAGUGCCGAAAUACUCCAAUCUGUCUGGUAAAUCGUGAUCCCUCCAUACCUUAAAGGGUUAUUUACACUGAUUGUUUUCCUUAGUACCUCCUUACCAUCAAGGUCCAAUAGUGAAAGAUCAGUGUAAAAUUGUGAUACCUGGGACACAUACGAGGGGGUGAAAAGGUAAACCACCUAAGCAUUUAGCAGUACUGAGCAAGCAAAAUUUGGGAGAUGAUUACGUCAUUAUAAACGUUAUCAUUAAGAACAUGCGAGAUAAGGUAGCACAAAGCAAACAAAAUAGAGCACAUAAACAUUCACCUCACCGCUGUCGUAGUAGUUCAUGUAGAAUUUGUUGACAUGAACCUCUGCAUUAAAAGCCUCAGUUGGAGUAGAGAGAAAACCGAUAGGGUGCAUCACAUCUCCUAUAACAAAAUUCAAACCCUGUGGAACCGUAACUGUUCCUUUGAAGCUCCCGCUUGCACUAAGAGUUCCACCUACCAUUAUUAGCAGCAUUGCUAGAUGUACUCCAAUAGGGGCAAACCGACCAGCCAGCCCCUUGAAAGCAUAUAAAGAAGGCCCCUUCAAAAAUACCUGAAAGGAUGAAGCGACCCAUAUUGAACACAUAGCUAUAAAUAUAAGGAGAUAAAAAUAAUUCAGGGGGAGGAAUUAACAAAAAAUAAAAAUUUCCUAAAAAGAGUAAACAAAGAAAGAAGAAUAUAAAAAUAUAUAACCUCAUAUCCAGCUCCCAUAAGAACAACACCCAAAUCUUGAACUGAUGCUCUCGGCAAAGAGUCCGAAAAUUCCUGCUUGUGGAUGGCCUCAGAAGAUUGCAUGAAGUUCCAUCUGUUAUUACCAAUUAAAUCCACCGUUAAUAGGGCGGUGCGCAACUCAUUUCCAGUUAGGGAUCAUAAAGUAAAACAAAAAACGAAAGCAAACCUUCUUGCAACCUUGACAAGGGGUAUUUGUGUAGUGUAAGUGCAGGCCAUUAGUGACGCACCGAGGAGAGUCAAUAGUGCAAGGAAAAUGGGGGAUGUGAACAUGUGAUCAAACCCAAGGGUGAGAACCCAUCUCCAAGUGAAAAUUCCCAACACGGGAUUACUUUCAGGGUAUUUAUCGAAAUAGAAAUCGGGGGCCUCACCUUGAUCAAUGAAAGUUCCUGCGGAAGUAUUGCAUUGACAUAAGGCCUAGUUAAAAUUCCAUAUGAAGAUAAAAACAUCUCUCUUUACAAUACCUCAUAAGAAAAAACAGGGCAUUGCUUACAAUUAUGCGCAUUCCGAAAAGGGCAUUGCUUAUAAACUCUAGUUUUUCAUGAAAAAACAAAUAAAUUAUCCAAAACAAAUAAAUCAAAUUUUAUUUCCACCUCACUGUUAUAAGCCAGGGAAACAAGCUACCUGGAUUGAAGAUUAAAAAAAAACCCAAAUUUAAAGCAACUACUAACAAGCAUUAAGCACCAGCAAGUAACCCAAUUUAGCAAACAACAAACUGAAAAAAGCCAAAAGCAAAAGUCAUUACGCUGCUUACUCAAAGAUAACAAAACCCAAAAACUCAACAUACCCAGAGCCAUAAGACCAGCAAUGGCAAACAUUUCUCCAAUAGCCAAAGGCAGAUAAGACAGAACCGAAAGAACCCUUCUCGGCAACCUUUUCAUCAGAACCAUCACCCCACUCCCACUCCCUGACUUCACCGAAGCUUCCUCGCCUCCGUCGGCGUCGCCACUCUUCUCCACAAGAGGCGGCGGCGCUCCUUCGGAGAGUAUAAUUGGCUUGGUUAUGUUAUUUCCUUUUUUCUUGCUCUUCUUGCUGUCUUGAGGGGUCUUCAGCCCACAAGUGGUGGUGACUGAGAGGGAGAGAGGUGGCUGCCGGAAGGAACGUCUGUGAAUUUGAAAAUUGUGAAAAGAGAGUGUGAUGGGCUUGAAGGGGCAGUGGAGGAGAGGGGCCUUGAGAAAAUGGGUUCUGGGCAGACAUGAUUUGGGGGCUGUGGUGGGGUUUAGAGCCACCAUUGAUAUCAAGCUCCAAACAACUGAUUCAGAGUUGAGGGGGUGGUGUAACGACCGGUACUUCUGCUAGUUUAUCCCAAAAGGAGAUAUUUUUAUACAACUAAUAGUAUUCUCCUCAUUUUCUCAUUUUGUUAAUGAGAUAUCUUAGAUUCAAUUUUCGUCAAAUAAGAAUUUGAAUCACGUCAAAACAUAUACAUUUGCCGAUUUAUUUUUAUAUUUACUAUAUAAAAUUUGUAUUUUUUUGACAUUUGAAAAUUAAAAUUCAUUUUGUAACUAUUUUCAGUUUUUAGAUUUAAAGAAAAUGAAAAUUAAAUACUUUCUUGUGCUUUCAAAAUUUGAUUUUGAGUUUUCACUUUUUCACUUUUUGAUUUUGAGUUUUAUUUUUUUUACUUUUUAAAUUGAAAGUUGAAAAUAGUUACAAACAAUAUUUUAUUUUUCAAAAGGUGAAAACUGAAAAUAAAGAAUUAAUAACUAAAAAUUAAGUGGUUAUCAAAUGGUUCCUGAGAAACUCAUUUUACAUUUUAUUAUGAAUAAUGCUAGACUACAUUUUGUAUCACAUUGGUGUACCAUCUAAAAUGACAAGUAAUGUGUAUAUGUUUUGUCAAUGAAUGAUUAUGAUUGGAUGUUGAUGAAUCAUUUAUCAUAUCAUAUGAUUACUAAUGUGGUGUAAUUAUGUAGCCUUCCGAGCUUUACUUUGUUAUUAUGUGGUUUUUUAUCUAUAUGCAUAAGAUAUGACAACCCGUUCCUAAAUUUACGUUUUUAUGUAUUUUAAUCGAGUGAAUUUACGAAAAUGCUCUAGAGGUAAGGACUUUGACUUCCGUUGACCAUCGUCUAGAAAAAUGUUUUACUUAUUCUUUUAGCGUAUUUGCGUAGUACUCGUUGGUACGAACGCAUAAGAGAAAGCCAUUUGCGCGUCCGGAUUAUAACGGUAUAGUUACAGACGUUUGAAUUUAGUUAUUUAUAUUUUAGAUUAUAAAUUAUUUGAAUUCCCACCUUGUGGGAUGAGGCCCAAUCAGAUUUUGUUCAAGGACCAAUUAGAUUAGAGUUUAAGGGACCAAUCAGAAAUUGAGAACAAGAGAGAGAGAGAAGCUGUCAACUCCCCCAAAACUACGACCUCCCAUUUUUCGAUGCUGAUUCUGGCCAACUCCGGUCGAAUUUUUCGACGCCACCACUACCAUCUUGAAGCUCUCACUCCCCUCUACAAGACAUAACCAAUGAUAGGGGCGUUGGAACACCGGAGAAGUCUAAUCGACGAACACCCGUCCUAUCCUAGGUUGCAAUAGGCAACUAGGACUUGUAUGUGAUGCGCCUAGCGCCAGUCUUCAUGUGAUUGUAGUAAUAGAGCGUAUAUUAUGAUUACACCCAGUCCUGUUCAUAUCAAAAUCCCUCUGCAUGAACUCGUGUGUUAGCAUAGAUUGAUGAGCACUUGAUUUUCUUAUGCCACAGUUGAGAUAUUAUGAUUUGUGUAUUUUUGGAAUUAUUGUUGAUUUAUAUUUGAUUUCAUACUUAUACGUAGUAUGAUUUUUUGGAAAUUAUACAUGUUUUAUGACGAGGGUUAGUAUGUUCAAAAAAUAAAUGUGUUUUAUAAACCUUUGUUUUUGCCCACUCACACCUUCUAUUUUUUGUCCCUCUAGGACUUGGUUAGCUGAAUUCUCUAUGGCGUAAGAGGGACCUUUGGCGAUUCUGACAUUCCCCUAAAUAAAUGUACGAGCUUAUUUCCGAUUGUGUAAUAAGUACCUUAACUAGAUUCGAC
RNAcentral lists this long non-coding RNA (4974 nucleotides) under Malus domestica (apple). RNAcentral's name for it is "long non-coding RNA (MDOM_LNC004584)". Lineage: Eukaryota; Viridiplantae; Streptophyta; Magnoliopsida; Rosales; Rosaceae. The record is from RNAcentral.